RNAcentral lists this ribosomal RNA (956 nucleotides) under Bacillus sp. SB19. RNAcentral describes it as "bacterial SSU rRNA". It matches the Rfam family "Bacterial small subunit ribosomal RNA", at positions 61 to 998 of the family's 1533-position model. The record is from RNAcentral. Lineage: Bacteria; Bacillati; Bacillota; Bacilli; Caryophanales; Bacillaceae.
GUCGAGCGGACCGACGGGAGCUUGCUCCCUUAGGUCAGCGGCGGACGGGUGAGUAACACGUGGGUAACCUGCCUGUAAGACUGGGAUAACUCCGGGAAACCGGGGCUAAUACCGGAUGCUUGAUUGAACCGCAUGGUUCAAUCAUAAAAGGCGGCUUCGGCUGCCGUUUACAGAUGGACCCGCGGCGCAUUAGCUAGUUGGUGAGGUAAUGGCUCACCAAGGCGACGAUGCGUAGCCGACCUGAGAGGGUGAUCGGCCACACUGGGACUGAGACACGGCCCAGACUCCUACGGGAGGCAGCAGUAGGGAAUCUUCCGCAAUGGACGAAAGUCUGACGGAGCAACGCCGCGUGAGUGAUGAAGGUUUUCGGAUCGUAAAGCUCUGUUGUUAGGGAAGAACAAGUACCGUUCGAAUAGGGCGGUACCUUGACGGUACCUAACCAGAAAGCCACGGCUAACUACGUGCCAGCAGCCGCGGUAAUACGUAGGUGGCAAGCGUUGUCCGGAAUUAUUGGGCGUAAAGCGCGCGCAGGCGGUUUCUUAAGUCUGAUGUGAAAGCCCCCGGCUCAACCGGGGAGGGUCAUUGGAAACUGGGGAACUUGAGUGCAGAAGAGGAGAGUGGAAUUCCACGUGUAGCGGUGAAAUGCGUAGAGAUGUGGAGGAACACCAGUGGCGAAGGCGACUCUCUGGUCUGUAACUGACGCUGAGGCGCGAAAGCGUGGGGAGCGAACAGGAUUAGAUACCCUGGUAGUCCACGCCGUAAACGAUGAGUGCUAAGUGUUAGAGGGUUUCCGCCCUUUAGUGCUGCAGCAAACGCAUUAAGCACUCCGCCUGGGGAGUACGGGUCGCAAGACUGAAACUCAAAGGAAUUGACGGGGGCCCGCACAAGCGGUGGAGCAUGUGGUUUAAUUCGAAGCAACGCGAAGAUCUUACCAGGUCUUGACAUCCUCUGACACC